UGGCUUAACUACACAUUUGGUCCCUUACGUUUAUUUUAGGUUUCAAUUUGGUCCCUUACGUUUAAAAAGUAUCAAUUUGCUCCCUUACGUUUAUUUUAAGUUUCAAGUUAGUCAUUUCCGUUAGUUUUGUCACUAACACCGUUUGAACAGUACACGUGUCAGCGUGUCCAAGUGCCACGUGUCAGUCCACGUAUGCAAAUUGACUGCCACANN
Molecule: long non-coding RNA, 213 nt
Filed under: Trifolium pratense (red clover)
Lineage: Eukaryota; Viridiplantae; Streptophyta; Magnoliopsida; Fabales; Fabaceae
Description: long non-coding RNA (TPRA_LNC011016)
Source: RNAcentral